UGGGGAAUUUUGCGCAAUGGGCGAAAGCCUGACGCAGCAACGCCGCGUGGAGGAUGAAGGUUUUCGGAUCGUAAACUCCUUUCAAUAGUGAUGAAAUUGACAGUAGCUAUAAAAGAAGCCCCGGCUAAAUACGUGCCAGCAGCCGCGGUAAUACGUAUGGGGCAAGCGUUAUCCGGAUUCAUUGGGCGUAAAGAGCGCGUAGGUGGAUUGUUAAGCGAGAUGUGAAAACCGGGGGCUCAACCCGCGGCCUGCAUCUCGAACUGGCAGUCUUGAGUUUGGUAGAGGAGUGUGGAAUUCCUAGUGUAGCGGUGGAAUGCGCAGAUAUUAGGAGGAACACCAGUGGCGAAGGCGGCACUCUGGGCCAAUACUGACACUGAGGCGCGAAAGCUAGGGGAGCAAACAGG
RNAcentral lists this ribosomal RNA (404 nucleotides) under uncultured bacterium. RNAcentral's name for it is "bacterial SSU rRNA". It matches the Rfam family "Bacterial small subunit ribosomal RNA", at positions 355 to 776 of the family's 1533-position model. The record is from RNAcentral.